This 511-nucleotide ribosomal RNA is filed under the name uncultured Bacillota bacterium. RNAcentral describes it as "bacterial SSU rRNA". It matches the Rfam family "Bacterial small subunit ribosomal RNA", at positions 366 to 896 of the family's 1533-position model. Lineage: Bacteria; Bacillati; Bacillota. The record is from RNAcentral.
GCACAAUGGGCGAAAGCCUGAUGCAGCAACGCCGCGUGAGCGAUGAAGGCCUUCGGGUCGUAAAGCUCUGUCCUCAAGGAAGAUAAUGACGGUACUUGAGGAGGAAGCCCCGGCUAACUACGUGCCAGCAGCCGCGGUAAUACGUAGGGGGCUAGCGUUAUCCGGAAUUACUGGGCGUAAAGGGUGCGUAGGUGGUUUCUUAAGUCAGAGGUGAAAGGCUACGGCUCAACCGUAGUAAGCCUUUGAAACUGGGAAACUUGAGUGCAGGAGAGGAGAGUGGAAUUCCUAGUGUAGCGGUGAAAUGCGUAGAUAUUAGGAGGAACACCAGUUGCGAAGGCGGCUCUCUGGACCGUAACUGACACUGAGGCACGAAAGCGUGGGGAGCAAACAGGAUUAGAUACCCUGGUAGUCCACGCCGUAAACGAUGAGUACUAGCUGUCGGAGGUUACCCCCUUCGGUGGCGCAGCUAACGCAUUAAGUACUCCGCCUGGGAAGUACGCUCGCAAGAGUG